AUUGAACGCUAGCGGGAUGCUUUACACAUGCAAGUCGAACGGCAGCGCGGACUUCGGUCUGGCGGCGAGUGGCGAACGGGUGAGUAAUGUAUCGGAACGUGCCCAGUAGCGGGGGAUAACUACGCGAAAGCGUAGCUAAUACCGCAUACGCCCUACGGGGGAAAGCAGGGGAUCGUAAGACCUUGCACUAUUGGAGCGGCCGAUAUCGGAUUAGCUAGUUGGUGAGGUAACGGCUCACCAAGGCGACGAUCCGUAGCUGGUUUGAGAGGACGACCAGCCACACUGGGACUGAGACACGGCCCAGACUCCUACGGGAGGCAGCAGUGGGGAAUUUUGGACAAUGGGGGCAACCCUGAUCCAGCCAUCCCGCGUGUGCAAUGAAGGCCUUCGGGUUGUAAAGCACUUUUGGCAGGAAAGAAACGUCGCGGGCUAAUACCCCGUGGAACUGACGGUACCUGCAGAAUAAGCACCGGCUAACUACGUG
This 484-nucleotide ribosomal RNA is filed under the name uncultured bacterium. RNAcentral describes it as "partial 16S ribosomal RNA". It matches the Rfam family "Bacterial small subunit ribosomal RNA", at positions 30 to 507 of the family's 1533-position model. The record is from RNAcentral.